GAGGAAUAUUGGUCAAUGGUCGCAAGACUGAACCAGCCAUGCCGCGUGCAGGAAGACGGUCCUAUGGAUUGUAAACUGCUUUUAUACAGGAAGAAACCCUCCCACGUGUGGGAGCUUGACGGUACUGUAGGAAUAAGGAUCGGCUAACUCCGUGCCAGCAGCCGCGGUAAUACGGAGGAUCCAAGCGUUAUCCGGAAUCAUUGGGUUUAAAGGGUCCGUAGGCGGUCUUAUAAGUCAGUGGUGAAAGCCCAUCGCUCAACGAUGGAACUGCCAUUGAUACUGUAAGACUUGAAUGCUUAGGAAGUAACUAGAAUAUGUAGUGUAGCGGUGAAAUGCUUAGAUAUUACAUGGAAUACCAAUUGCGAAGGCAGGUUACUACUAAGUGAUUGACGCUGAUGGACGAAAGCGUGGGGAGCGAAC
RNAcentral lists this ribosomal RNA (420 nucleotides) under uncultured bacterium. Its description in RNAcentral is "bacterial SSU rRNA". It matches the Rfam family "Bacterial small subunit ribosomal RNA", at positions 356 to 773 of the family's 1533-position model. The record is from RNAcentral.